GACGAACGCUGGCGGCGUGCUUAACACAUGCAAGUCGAGCGGUAAGGCCCUUUCGGGGGUACACGAGCGGCGAACGGGUGAGUAACACGUGGGUGACCUGCCCUCAGCUCUGGGAUAAGCCUGUGAAACCGGGUCUAAUACUGGAUAUGACUCCAUGACGCAUGUUGUGGGGUGGAAAGCCUUGUGCGGCUGAGGAUGGGCCCGCGGCCUAUCAGCUUGUUGGGGGGUGAU
RNAcentral lists this ribosomal RNA (231 nucleotides) under uncultured bacterium. RNAcentral describes it as "partial 16S ribosomal RNA". It matches the Rfam family "Bacterial small subunit ribosomal RNA", at positions 28 to 260 of the family's 1533-position model. The record is from RNAcentral.